UUAAAUUGAAGAGUUUGAUCAUGGCUCAGAUUGAACGCUGGCGGCAGGCCUAACACAUGCAAGUCGAACGGUAACAGGAAGCAGCUUGCUGCUUCGCUGACGAGUGGCGGACGGGUGAGUAAUGUCUGGGAAACUGCCUGAUGGAGGGGGAUAACUACUGGAAACGGUGGCUAAUACCGCAUAACGUCGCAAGACCAAAGAGGGGGACCUUCGGGCCUCUUGCCAUCAGAUGUGCCCAGAUGGGAUUAGCUAGUUGGUGAGGUAACGGCUCA
Molecule: ribosomal RNA, 272 nt
Filed under: Salmonella enterica subsp. enterica serovar Muenchen
Lineage: Bacteria; Pseudomonadati; Pseudomonadota; Gammaproteobacteria; Enterobacterales; Enterobacteriaceae
Also listed under: 6 other names
Description: partial 16S ribosomal RNA
Rfam family: Bacterial small subunit ribosomal RNA
Source: RNAcentral